AUUGAACGCUGGCGGCAGGCCUAACACAUGCAAGUCGAACGGUAACAGGAAACAGCUUGCUGUUUCGCUGACGAGUGGCGGACGGGUGAGUAAUGUCUGGGAAACUGCCUGAUGGAGGGGGAUAACUACUGGAAACGGUAGCUAAUACCGCAUAACGUCGCAAGACCAAAGAGGGGGACCCUCGGGCCUCUUGCCAUCGGAUGUGCCCCGAUGGGAUUAGCUUGUUGGUGGGGUAACGGCUCACCAAGGCGACGAUCCCUAGCUGGUCUGAGAGGAUGACCAGCCAACCUUGAACUGGGAAACCGUCCCGGCUCCUACGGGAGGCAGGAAGGGGGGAAUAUUGCACAAAGGGCGCAAGCCUGAUGCAGCCAUGCCGCGUGUAUGAAGAAGGCCUUCGGGUUGUAAAGUACUUUCAGCGGGGAGGAAGGGAGUAAAGUUAAUACCUUUGCUCAUUGACGUUACCCGCAGAAGAAGCACCGGCUAACUCCGUG
This 491-nucleotide ribosomal RNA is filed under the name uncultured bacterium. Its description in RNAcentral is "partial 16S ribosomal RNA". It matches the Rfam family "Bacterial small subunit ribosomal RNA", at positions 30 to 507 of the family's 1533-position model. The record is from RNAcentral.